GCGGGAAUAGCUCAGUGGUAGAGCACCACCUUGCCAAGGUGGGGGUCGCGAGUUCAAAUCUCGUUUCCCGCU
RNAcentral lists this transfer RNA (72 nucleotides) under Balneolaceae bacterium. RNAcentral describes it as "tRNA-Gly". It matches the Rfam family "tRNA". Rfam says of the family: Transfer RNA (tRNA) molecules are approximately 80 nucleotides in length. Lineage: Bacteria; Pseudomonadati; Balneolota; Balneolia; Balneolales; Balneolaceae. The record is from RNAcentral.